Vanessa tameamea is the source of this 4841-nucleotide RNA transcript. It is a transcript of the gene named F-actin-uncapping protein LRRC16A, with no coding region annotated. NCBI's taxonomy places the organism in Eukaryota, Metazoa, Arthropoda, Insecta, Lepidoptera, Nymphalidae. The transcript is spliced from 29 exons. The record is from RefSeq and is a predicted model, not a curated record.
UUUUGAUGUUUCAUCUGUGGUUACAAGUUUAGCUGAAGUGUAUGCUGAUUGGUGUUGUGAAUUUAAGUCGAUAAUAAAUUCUUCAAUUUAUUCGAUUGAAAUGUAUUUUUCUUAUAUAAUUUUUUUAAAUAAUUUUUACUAACAUUUACUUUUAACUAUUGUAAGUUAUGAAUCAAGCAUGGGUGUAGUGAGUUAUAAUAAAAAUAAAUCUAGUUAAAGUGAUGACAUUAAAAAAAAUUGUAAAAAUGUCAACAAAAUCUCAAAUAUCUACAGAAUUAAGCGAGAGUAUCAGCAAUGUAUUAGGGAAAAAUGCCAAAAUUCUCUAUAAAUCGCUUAUUCGGAUGGAAUCAAGAGGUGAUAAAGUAGAUAACCGUGUUUUGGUUGUUACUGCAUUCAGGGUUUUCAUAACAACAACAAAAGUGCCAACAAGGAUUGACAAUGGAUUUCACUUAAUGGAAAUAGAAGCUUUAGAGAGUAAGAAGGCGAAUCAUUUGUCGAUAACGCUAAUCCACGAGCACAAACCAGUGUCGAUCCUAAUAGGCGAGGAGGGGACUUCCGAAGGCGUUAUUAAUGCUAUUCACGCGCUGAUUGCGGCAUUUGAUGACUUAUUUCCUAAUGUAGCUAUGGAGGACAUUGUUACAAAGGUAAAUUUACCGUUUCCACUGCAACCAGUAAGCGGUACUAGAAAACAUUCCACGUGUGGUGAUUUUUCGAAUCAAUAUGCUGCCAUGUGUGAUCUCUGUCAGACACCCUUCAGAGCCGAGGUUGCAUGGGACAUCGAUACGAUAUACUUAGCGCAUGAUAUAAGAAUGCUUCAUUUAAAAGAUUUUGACCAUUUGGAUCAAAGGGACCUAAUCCCGCUGGUGAUGGCGCUGCAGCACAACACGUGGUUCGACGGCGUGUGCGGCGACGGCGUGCGCGUGGGCGGCGAGGCGUGGGAGGCCGUGGCGCGCCUGCUGCGCGCCGCCGCGCCGCCGCCCCGGCAGCUGAGCUGGCGCGGCGCCGCGCUGCGCCACGACCACGCCGCGCGCCUCGGCCACGCGCUCGCCCGCGCGCGCCACCCGCCCGCCAUGCACACCGUCGACCUCUCGCAGAACCACAUCGAGGACAAGGGAGCCAUCAGUAUGCUUACAGGGCUAGGGAACAACCCGGACGGGUUGAGGUACAUAGCGCUGUCGCAGUGCGGACUGACCGGCAAGACGGUGUCCCACCUGGCGGUCAUGCUCAACGACAGUCCGUGCCAUCUCUCCACGCUCUCCCACUUGGAUCUGUCGCACAAUAACCUUAAGGACGACGUUCACAACUUGUAUAAUUUUUUAGCUCAACCUAACGUAUUAAAACAUUUGAAUUUGAUAAAUACGGAAACUACUUUGGAAAAUAUGUGGGGCGCGCUGUUGCGCGGCUGCGCGGCGCGGCUGGCGACGCUGCUGCUGGCGCGCAACCCGUGGUCGGCGGCGCGACGCCCGCGCGACCCGCCGCCCUCCUUCCGGCAGUUCUUCACGGCCUGCCUCGCACUCACGGACCUCGACUUCUCGUAUUGCAAGAUGCCUCCGGACGCGCUCAAGAGCUUGCUGCUGGGGCUGGCGUGCAACGAGAGCGCGGCGGGCGUGAAGCUGAACCUGGCGGGCGUGCUGUCGUCGUCGCAGGCGGCGCACGUGCUGGAGUCGUGCGUGCACGGCGUGCGCUGCCUGCAGGCGCUCGACCUGUCCGAUAACAGCAUGGAAUUCGAAUUAUCCGGAAUAGUGAGGGCAAUAGGAAAGAAUCAUUCGAUAACACAAUUAUCUUUAAGCAAGUUGACUGGAAAAAGGUCGUAUGCGCCACCGUUAAUUCAGGGUUUAGUUCACGUACUACAAGAACCUGAUACAGCUUUGACAACAUUAGAUCUUAGCGAUUGUAAACUUAAGAGUGACCUGUACGGUCUACUGAACGCGUUGGGAGGCGCGCGGAGAUUGCGCACGUUAGACGUGGGCGGCAACCUCGCGGGCGACGCCGGCGCGCGGCUGCUGGCCAAGGCGCUGCAGUGCAACUGCACGCUGCACACUCUGUACAUAGACAGGAACGCGUUCAGUUUGCAAGGUCUGACGGACAUCGCGACGGCGCUGCGGCGCUCGGUGAGCGUGCGGCGCGUGGAGUUCCCCGGCUGCGACGCGGCGGCGGGCGGCCGCGGGGCCUCGGAGCGCGUCGCCACGCUGUGGCGCGACCUGCACGAGAGGCUGGCGACCAACGGCUCGUCGGGGCAGAGCGGGCGCGUGCGCGCGCUGGCGCUGGAGCGCGCGUGGGCGGGCGGCGAGGCGGCGGCGGCGCUGGCGGCGCAGGCGGCGGCCGCGCUGCCCCCCCCGCCGCUGCCCGCCGCCACCGAGCGCGCCGCGGCCGCCGCGCACCACCUGCUGCACCAGUACCUCCAGAGGUGUAGCGAAGUGUUUGCCGCUAUGGGUGGCAACGGUGGUGGCAGUGAGCUCGUGACUUUGCAAGCCGUGCGCGAUGCUAUGGCGCCCUGCAACAACACUCUACAGGAUUUGCUCAACGAAGCGGUCGAGAGACUGGCGUUGUCAGCGUGCGAGAGUGUGGAGGGUGCGGAGAGCGAUCGCGGCCCGGUCAUCGACCCCGAGAUGCCCGACCUGCUCUCGCCCAUCUCGCACUCCGGGAAGUUGGAUUAUUUGAAUUUGGCCACGCCGCUGGGCUGCCGGCGCCGCGAGCGCGGGCGACGCGUGCGGCCCAAGUCCGUGGCCGAGCAGCAGCAGUGCAGCAGCAACGAGAUGCUGUCCCUGCCGCCGCUGCACGCCGAGGCCGCCGACGCACUCGCCGAGCUGCCGGCGCACACGCUGCGGCACCUCGUCAAAGGUCGACCGAGAAGAGCAAAAACUAGAGCGCCGACGCGACCCGUUACCGAUCAAUCACAAGAUAUAGAUGAGGGGCUGGACGAGUUCUGGCGCGCGUGCCGCACGCCGCCCGGCAGCGAGGAGGCGUCGUCGCUGUCGGCGCGCACGCCGCUCACGUCGCGCUCGCUGCACUCGCUGUCGUCGCUGGCGUCCGCCUCGCCCGCCUCGCCCGCCUCGCCGUCGCCGCUGCGCCACUCGCCCACGCUGCGCCGCGACGACACCAUGUACAGCGUAACAUCUGGCGAAAGCACACCGGUUCUCCUAGAGUGUGAAGUGUCUCGAUGCAAAUCUUCGGACAACGUGGGCAUUAAGGCGGCACCCACCACGCCACCACCAUCGCGUUCAUCUGAUAAUGUCAACACAAUGGGCAACGGCUGCGCGCGCGGCGGCGGCAAGGCGCGGCCGUGGUCGGUGGCGGGCGGCAACGCCGACAGCGCCGCGCUCUGCACCACAGAGGGCGUGGAGGCGUGCGUGGGCGGCAGCAUCGUGGGCAUCACCCCCGGCGCCGCACUAACCAGUAACAUUACACACGCUAUCCCUUACUAGCUAGCGCAGCCCGCAGGCAGUGUCGUCCGCUUGUAGGUUCAAUGAUGCGUGAUCACCCUUUAACUCCUGAGGGCACAGAGGCCUGAACGAAGCACAAGUAAGUGUGAUGAAGCUAUCGUGAUAAGCUGAGCAGGGUUAACAAUGAAUCGGACUUUAUCUCUCAUGCUCACUAUUGUGCCAGUUAGAAGUUAGGCUCUAGUUACUCAUUCAUAGUCAAGAUGACAACAUACGCUGUGUUCGAAGACACCGUUUCGUUCUUUCAAUACUGAAUGUUUUAUAUAGUAUUUAAUUCUGCUAAUAAUUAAUAGUUGAUACGGCAUAAUAAUUCCAAGUAAAUGCUAGGUAAGGUAUUCGAACCAUAUAAUCGUUUUUUAUUAACUGUGAUGAGUUAGUAUUAUUUUGUAGCAUAUUAUAUACAAUAUUUUAUCGUCUAUGUUAUAUUCUCACUGCUUGUACUGAGCACACCAUGUGAUUAUUUUAGUCUCGCAAUCCUCGAGGGAAGUUAUUAUGGCCAUUUUCUCUCGAAUUAUCUAGAACAUUUAUUUAAGGCAGAUUAUUAUUGUUGUCAUAUCUUUUAAGUUAUUCUUACGCAUUUACACGCAUGUUUAAGUCCUUAUUUAUCCUUAUAUUAUAUAAAUCCUACACAUCUAAGACAUACAUGGAUUAAAAAUUAUAACUAAUUGAUAUAAAAUUUACAUAUAUUCGAGAGGCUUGUUUUCAGCGAUUUUACACGUAACUCGUACCGGUUCGAGUGCCAUAUACCGUUGUUUGAUUAUUUUCGUUGGCUACGUGAUGAGGAAAAACUUCAUUGCCGAUAAAUAACUAAUUGGUCUUACUAGUCAUAUAAAUAAAAGGCCUAAAGAUUACGCACAACAUGUUUUACAAAUAUUAUAUUGUAAGAAUUACGAAUAUUUCUGUUAAAAAAAAUUCAUGAUGAUAUCUUCCAUUUUUUACAUUCCUUUAUGUGUACAGAUUAAGGCUCGACUAUCUCUAAAAUUGAUCAAGUGUGAUUUUUUAAAUAAAGUUCAAAUGCGAGAUAAAUUUUAGACUAUUGCAGUUGCAUUGUAAGGUUCAAUUUUACGAUACAUUAUAGUAAGUGUAGAGAACUCGCCCCAUAACUUUUAAGUGUUCACUAGAAUAAUUAUAAAAUCAAUUAUUAUAUUAUUCAUUUAUCUUUUGAAAAUAAGGCUGUAUUUUAUUGAAUUUUCAUGUACGUAAAUUACUGAUUGAAAUUAGAUGUAUGAUAUUAUACUAUUAUUAAAUUAUUUCAUAGUAUUUUUAUAUUCAUUCCAAUUAUUCGGUUUUGUGUAGUUUUUUGGUACCAGACUGAUUUUAGGUACUUUUAUUUUAUGGUGCAAUUUAUGUCUAGAGCGUUGUGAUAAUCUGUUUUAAAUUACAAUAUAAUAUUAUACAACA